AUGCACUUUGACAUCCCCAACGCGCUCUCCGCGCUCGUCUCUCUUCGGCAACCAAGCGGCACCUCUCCCAGCGUCUAUCCCGGCUCGCGGACCGACACCUCAGCCUUCAUCACUUCGCGUGACAGACGCGAAGUACAACUCCUCCAUCCUCACGUCAACCCGCCGGGAAGCAAAAGCGGCCCCGACGGGGAGCCCGAGCACCUACCAGCCAGCGUUGACAACCGCAGACGCUCCGCUCCCUCUCAGAGCCCCACAGCUGCCUCCAUUACGCGCCUCAUCCGAGCAGUUGCCGAUCUCCAGUGCUGCACCUCAUCUAGGGGAGAGCCGAGCGUCAGAGCGCACCCCGACACCCCAAAACCCCCCGGCAGGGAUGGGGGCAUGGCCCCGCUCCCUCUCCCACCGCCACACCGAGGUGGGGGGGGGGGGAGCCCAGUCACGGAUGGCUCCGUCCCGCUUCAAGGCACGGAAAGCGAAGUUGCUCGCCCUGCCCGUUUCCACACACCCCCCCCGCUCUGUCACACCCGGAUUUAUCCCCGAGGCACCCCAGGCCCCCGGGGGCCGCCGCCAGACAAUGAGGAGGAGGCGACGGGCGGGGCGCUGCCGCCCCACCGCGCCCCGUUUCCCCCUCGCCGGCUCCCCCCCUUCAGGGGGGGCUCGGAGCCGCCCCUCUCUCCUCAGGGCCGGCCGAGGGAGCACCUCGCCCUCUCCCCGGGGCCGGCCGGGGGUCUCCCGUCGCCGCUUGGGGUCGCCCCGCGGAGCCGCCUCCUCGCCCCCUCAGCCCCGUGCCUGCCUCCGCCGCCGCCGCCGCUCACGGCCGCGCCGCCAUUUUGCGUCUCCCCGAGUCGUGCGCUCCCGGCGGGGCGGGCGGUGAGCCGCCGAGUCCCAGCGCCGCCGGCCGCCCGGGCCCUCGCCUCGCCGCCCGCGGCGCCCACUCGCAUCCUCCCGGCGCCUCGCAGCCCCCCGGGAGGGUUGAGCGGGGAGGGCCGGGCAGCGGCGGGCCGCGGUGCCUCAGCCUCCCCUGGCAGGGAGCGGGGCGGAGCCGCUCCG
RNAcentral lists this long non-coding RNA (1047 nucleotides) under Anser cygnoides (Swan goose). Its description in RNAcentral is "lncRNA (ENSACDG00005005047.1)". Lineage: Eukaryota; Metazoa; Chordata; Aves; Anseriformes; Anatidae. The record is from RNAcentral.